UACAGGGGGUGCAAACGUUGCUCGGAAUCAUUGGGCGUAAAGCGCACGUAGGCGGUCUGUUAUGUCGGAUGUGAAAGCCCUUGGCUUAACUGAGGAAGUGCAUCCGAAACUGGCAGGCUAGAGUACUAAAAAGGGUCGCGGAAUUCCCGGUGUAGAGGUGAAAUUCGUAGAUAUCGGGAGGAACACCGGUGGCGAAGGCGGCGACCUGGGUAGAUACUGACGCUGAGGUGCGAAAGCGUGGGGAGCAAACAGG
This 253-nucleotide ribosomal RNA is filed under the name uncultured bacterium. Its description in RNAcentral is "partial 16S ribosomal RNA". It matches the Rfam family "Bacterial small subunit ribosomal RNA", at positions 524 to 776 of the family's 1533-position model. The record is from RNAcentral.